CGCUGAGCCUCCCCCUCUUGCUCCUACCUGCAGACACGGGAGAGACCACGACGCUGCCUCCGGGGCGCCACGAGUUCCCGUUCAGCUUCCAGCUGCCUCCGACCCUGGUGACCUCAUUCGAGGGUAAGCAUGGCAGUGUCCGGUACUGCAUCAAGGCCACCCUGCACCGGCCCUGGGUUCCUGCCCGCCGGGCAAGGAAGGUAUUUACUGUUAUUGAGCCGGUGGACAUCAACACGCCUGCCCUACUGGCCCCUCAGGCCGGAGCUCUGGAGAAGGUCGCCCGAUCCUGGUACAGCAGCCGUGGUCUCGUCUCCCUCUCCGCCAAAAUCGACCGAAAGGGUUACACACCAGGUGAGGUCAUCCCAGUCUUCGCGGAGAUUGACAAUGGCUCUACGCGCCCCCUGCUUCCUCGGGCAGCAGUGGUCCAG
RNAcentral lists this long non-coding RNA (428 nucleotides) under Ursus maritimus (polar bear). RNAcentral's name for it is "lncRNA (ENSUMAG00000009848.1)". The record is from RNAcentral. Lineage: Eukaryota; Metazoa; Chordata; Mammalia; Carnivora; Ursidae.